This 1584-nucleotide ribosomal RNA is filed under the name Vibrio vulnificus. RNAcentral describes it as "partial 23S ribosomal RNA". It matches the Rfam family "Bacterial large subunit ribosomal RNA", at positions 1243 to 2812 of the family's 2925-position model. Lineage: Bacteria; Pseudomonadati; Pseudomonadota; Gammaproteobacteria; Vibrionales; Vibrionaceae. The record is from RNAcentral.
UAAGCCGUUGAAGGUGUGUUGUAAAGCAUGCUGGAGGUAUCAGAAGUGCGAAUGCUGACAUGAGUAACGACAAGGGGGGUGAAAAACCUCCCCGCCGGAAGACCAAGGGUUCCUGUCCAACGUUAAUCGGGGCAGGGUAAGUCGACCCCUAAGGCGAGGCCGAAAGGCGUAGUCGAUGGGAAACGGGUUAAUAUUCCCGUACUUCUUACAAUUGCGAUGGGGGGACGGAGAAGGCUAGGUGGGCCUGGCGACGGUUGUCCAGGUUCAAGUGCGUAGGCUGAGUGUUUAGGUAAAUCCGGAUACUCUUAAGGCUGAGACACGACGUCGAGCUACUACGGUAGUGAAGUCAUUGAUGCCAUGCUUCCAGGAAAAGCCUCUAAGCUUCAGAUUGUAAGGAAUCGUACCCCAAACCGACACAGGUGGUCGGGUAGAGAAUACCAAGGCGCUUGAGAGAACUCGGGUGAAGGAACUAGGCAAAAUGGUACCGUAACUUCGGGAGAAGGUACGCUCUUGAUGGUGAAGUCCCUUGCGGAUGGAGCUGACGAGAGUCGCAGAUACCAGGUGGCUGCAACUGUUUAUUAAAAACACAGCACUGUGCAAAAUCGUAAGAUGACGUAUACGGUGUGACGCCUGCCCGGUGCCGGAAGGUUAAUUGAUGGGGUUAGCGUAAGCGAAGCUCUUGAUCGAAGCCCCGGUAAACGGCGGCCGUAACUAUAACGGUCCUAAGGUAGCGAAAUUCCUUGUCGGGUAAGUUCCGACCUGCACGAAUGGCGUAAUGAUGGCCACGCUGUCUCCACCCGAGACUCAGUGAAAUUGAAAUCGCUGUGAAGAUGCAGUGUACCCGCGGCUAGACGGAAAGACCCCGUGAACCUUUACUACAGCUUGGCACUGAACAUUGAACCUACAUGUGUAGGAUAGGUGGGAGGCUUUGAAGACGUGACGCCAGUUGCGUUGGAGCCGUCCUUGAAAUACCACCCUUGUAUGUUUGAUGUUCUAACGUUGGCCCCUAAUCGGGGUUGCGGACAGUGCCUGGUGGGUAGUUUGACUGGGGCGGUCUCCUCCCAAAGAGUAACGGAGGAGCACGAAGGUGGGCUAAUCACGGUUGGACAUCGUGAGGUUAGUGCAAUGGCAUAAGCCCGCUUAACUGCGAGAAUGACGGUUCGAGCAGGUGCGAAAGCAGGUCAUAGUGAUCCGGUGGUUCUGAAUGGAAGGGCCAUCGCUCAACGGAUAAAAGGUACUCCGGGGAUAACAGGCUGAUACCGCCCAAGAGUUCAUAUCGACGGCGGUGUUUGGCACCUCGAUGUCGGCUCAUCACAUCCUGGGGCUGAAGUCGGUCCCAAGGGUAUGGCUGUUCGCCAUUUAAAGUGGUACGCGAGCUGGGUUUAGAACGUCGUGAGACAGUUCGGUCCCUAUCUGCCGUGGGCGUUGGAAGAUUGAAGGGGGCUGCUCCUAGUACGAGAGGACCGGAGUGGACGAACCUCUGGUGUUCGGGUUGUGUCGCCAGACGCAUUGCCCGGUAGCUAAGUUCGGAAUCGAUAACCGCUGAAAGCAUCUAAGCGGGAAGCGAGCCCUGAGAUGAGUCUU